CAAACUGGAGAUGGCGACCGGCGCACGGGUGAGUAACACGUAUCCAACCUGCCGAUAACUCGGGGAUAGCCUUUCGAAAGAAAGAUUAAUACCCGAUGGCAUAAUAGAACCGCAUGGUUUGAUUAUUAAAGAAUUUCGGUUAUCGAUGGGGAUGCGUUCCAUUAGGCAGUUGGUGGGGUAACGGCCCACCAAACCUUCGAUGGAUAGGGGUUCUGAGAGGAAGGUCCCCCCACAUUGGAACUGAGACACGGUCCAAACUCCUACGGGAGGCAGCAUG
Molecule: ribosomal RNA, 277 nt
Filed under: uncultured bacterium
Lineage: Bacteria
Description: partial 16S ribosomal RNA
Rfam family: Bacterial small subunit ribosomal RNA
Source: RNAcentral